AUUGAACGCUGGCGGCAUGCUUUACACAUGCAAGUCGAACGGUAGCGCGGGGCAACCUGGCGGCGAGUGGCGAACGGGUGAGUAAUACAUCGGAACGUACCCAGAAGUGGGGGAUAACGUAGCGAAAGUUACGCUAAUACCGCAUACGUUCUACGGAAGAAAGUGGGGGACCUUCGGGCCUCAUGCUUUUGGAGCGGCCGAUGUCUGAUUAGCUAGUUGGUGAGGUAAAGGCUCACCAAGGCGACGAUCAGUAGCUGGUCUGAGAGGACGACCAGCCACACUGGGACUGAGACACGGCCCAGACUCCUACGGGAGGCAGCAGUGGGGAAUUUUGGACAAUGGGCGCAAGCCUGAUCCAGCAAUGCCGCGUGAGUGAAGAAGGCCUUCGGGUUGUAAAGCUCUUUUGUCAGGGAAGAAACGGCUGAGGAUAAUACCUUCGGCUAAUGACGGUACCUGAAGAAUAAGCACCGGCUAACUACGUG
Molecule: ribosomal RNA, 482 nt
Filed under: uncultured bacterium
Lineage: Bacteria
Description: partial 16S ribosomal RNA
Rfam family: Bacterial small subunit ribosomal RNA
Source: RNAcentral